UCAGAAAAUAUGGAGAAGUUUUUUGACUAAAUCAAUAAUCAAUGAUGACAAAUAUUAGGGGGAAAAGAAGGGGCCAGAAUCUAGCAAACUAUCUUGUUUAGAAAGUAAUAGUUAAUCCAGCAUUAUUCUAAUGAUAAGUCUUUUUUCUUCUAUGAUUUUAGGAGUUCAAUAAGUAUGACAGAGAACCAGCUAAAUACAUCAAGCAAUAUCAAGGAAUCAAACCAAGGACAGGGGCACCAUACUCUUGUAUUUUAGGAAUCAGAGUUGCUUUGAGUUUCAUUCCGGCUUAUGUAGAUGCUGGACUAUUGAUUUUCCUAAUUUUUUGUUUUUCUCUCUCUUUCGAUCUAUAUGUUAGCUGUCCCUGAAAUCUGAACUUGAGCAUAAUGCAAUAUCUCCAUCCAAACCGCCUCUGCACACUAAGGGAUCUAAAGAGAAUAUUCCGGGUUCCUUAAAACAAGUAGUUCAGAGGUAUGGGAGGAAGCUGAGCCAUUGUGGGAGCGAGUGGAUGAUCCCUGAAAUUGGACCCCGGCCGAACAUCUACAGGUACAC
Molecule: non-coding RNA, 549 nt
Organism: Camellia sinensis
Lineage: Eukaryota; Viridiplantae; Streptophyta; Magnoliopsida; Ericales; Theaceae
Source: RefSeq, a predicted model, not a curated record